AUCCUGAUGACGAGUCCCAAAUGGGAUGAAACGUGAGUCCUGGAU
Molecule: non-coding RNA, 45 nt
Organism: Schistosoma mansoni
Lineage: Eukaryota; Metazoa; Platyhelminthes; Trematoda; Strigeidida; Schistosomatidae
Source: Rfam